GACGAACGCUGGCGGCGUGCUUAACACAUGCAAGUCGAACGGAAAGGCCCUGCUUUUGUGGGGUGCUCGAGUGGCGAACGGGUGAGUAACACGUGAGUAACCUGCCCUUGACUGUGGGAUAACUUCAGGAAACUGGGGCUAAUACCGGAUAGGAGCUCCUGCUGCAUGGUGGGGGUUGGAAAGUUUCGGCAGUUGGGGAUGGACUCGCGGCUUAUCAGCUUGUUGGUGGGGUAGUGGCUUACCAAGGCUUUGACGGGUAGCCGGCCUGGGAGGGUGACCGGCCCCAUUGGGCCUGGGCUACGGCCCAGCCUCCUCCGGGAGGCAGCAGUGGGGAAUAUUGCACAAUGGGCGGAAGCCUGAUGCAGCACCGCCGCGUGCGGGAUGACGGCCUUCGGGUUGUAAACCGCUUUCGCCUGUGACGAAGCGUGAGUGACGGUAAUGGGUAAAGAAGCACCGGCUAACUACGUG
RNAcentral lists this ribosomal RNA (468 nucleotides) under uncultured bacterium. Its description in RNAcentral is "partial 16S ribosomal RNA". It matches the Rfam family "Bacterial small subunit ribosomal RNA", at positions 28 to 507 of the family's 1533-position model. The record is from RNAcentral.